This 492-nucleotide ribosomal RNA is filed under the name uncultured bacterium. RNAcentral describes it as "partial 16S ribosomal RNA". It matches the Rfam family "Bacterial small subunit ribosomal RNA", at positions 29 to 507 of the family's 1533-position model. The record is from RNAcentral.
AGUGAGCGCUGGCGGUAGGCCUAACACAUGCAAGUCGAACGGCAGCACAGUAAGAGCUUGCUCUUACGGGUGGCGAGUGGCGGACGGGUGAGGAAUACAUCGGAAUCUACUUUUUCGUGGGGGAUAACGUAGGGAAACUUACGCUAAUACCGCAUACGACCUACGGGUGAAAGCAGGGGAUCUUCGGACCUUGCGCGAUUGAAUGAGCCGAUUUCGGAUUAGCUAGUUGGCGGGGUAAAGGCCCACCAAGGCGACGAUCCGUAGCUGGUCUGAGAGGAUGAUCAGCGACACUGGAACUGAGACACGGACCAGACGCCUACGGGAGGCAGCAGUGGGGAAUAUUGGACAAUGGGCGCAAGCCUGAUCCAGCCAUACCGAGUGGGUGAAGAAGGCCUUCGGGUUGUAAAGCCCUUUUGUUGGGAAAGAAAAGCAGCAGGUUAAUACCCAGCUGUUCUGACGGUACCCAAAGAAUAAGCACCGGCUAACUUCGUG